RNAcentral lists this ribosomal RNA (492 nucleotides) under uncultured bacterium. RNAcentral's name for it is "partial 16S ribosomal RNA". It matches the Rfam family "Bacterial small subunit ribosomal RNA", at positions 29 to 507 of the family's 1533-position model. The record is from RNAcentral.
AGUGAACGCUGGCGGUAGGCCUAACACAUGCAAGUCGAACGGCAGCACAGUAAGAGCUUGCUCUUACGGGUGGCGAGUGGCGGACGGGUGAGGAAUACAUCGGAAUCUACUUUUUCGUGGGGGAUAACGUAGGGAAACUUACGCUAAUACCGCAUACGACCUACGGGUGAAAGCAGGGGAUCUUCGGACCUUGCGCGAUUGAAUGAGCCGAUGUCGGAUUAGCUAGUUGGCGGGGUAAAGGCCCACCAAGGCGACGAUCCGUAGCUGGUCUGAGAGGAUGAUCAGGCACACUGGAAAUGAGGCAACGUCCAAGAUCCUAAGGGAGGGAGCAGUGGGGAAUAUUGGACAAAUGGGGGAAGCCUUAUCCAGCCAUACCGGGUGGGGGAAAGAGGCCUUCCGGUUUUAAAGGCCUCUUUGUGGGAAAAAAAAGCCAGCAGUUAAAACCCCGCUUGUCUGGCGGUUACCAAAGGAUAAGGAACGGCCAACCUUGUG